Molecule: ribosomal RNA, 653 nt
Filed under: uncultured beta proteobacterium
Lineage: Bacteria; Pseudomonadati; Pseudomonadota; Betaproteobacteria
Description: bacterial SSU rRNA
Rfam family: Bacterial small subunit ribosomal RNA
Source: RNAcentral
GGUGCUUGCACUUGGUGGCGAGUGGCGAACGGGUGAGUAAUACAUCGGAACAUGUCCUGUAGUGGGGGAUAGCCCGGCGAAAGCCGGAUUAAUACCGCAUACGAUCUACGGAUGAAAGCGGGGGACCUUCGGGCCUCGCGCUAUAGGGUUGGCCGAUGGCUGAUUAGCUAGUUGGUGGGGUAAAGGCCUACCAAGGCGACGAUCAGUAGCUGGUCUGAGAGGACGACCAGCCACACUGGGACUGAGACACGGCCCAGACUCCUACGGGAGGCAGCAGUGGGGAAUUUUGGACAAUGGGCGAAAGCCUGAUCCAGCAAUGCCGCGUGUGUGAGGAAGGCCUUCGGGUUGUAAAGCACUUUUGUCCGGAAAGAAAUCCUUGGUUCUAAUAUAGCCGGGGGAUGACGGUACCGGAAGAAUAAGCACCGGCUAACUACGUGCCAGCAGCCGCGGUAAUACGUAGGGUGCGAGCGUUAAUCGGAAUUACUGGGCGUAAAGCGUGCGCAGGCGGUUUGCUAAGACCGAUGUGAAAUCCCCGGGCUCAACCUGGGAACUGCAUUGGUGACUGGCAGGCUAGAGUAUGGCAGAGGGGGGUAGAAUUCCACGUGUAGCAGUGAAAUGCGUAGAGAUGUGGAGGAAUACCGAUGGCGAAGGCA